CGCGGGCGCUCGCGGGGCCGGAACCGGCUGGAAUUGCAAAAACCCUGGGGAUUGAGAGCCCUAGGGGACGCCGGGCGUUGCCGCUGAGGAGUGUUUUGCCUGCCUGUAUGUGUGCUUGAAGAUGCCAGAAGAAGGUGUUGAAUCCCCUGGAACUGGAGUUAACAUGUUGGUACUGAAAACUGAACCCAGCAAUUAGACUGUGACAAUGGACCGACCAAAUGGACAUCAUCCCUGGACAUGGUCCCUGAAGGGAGAGUGCCACCUUCUGGCAGGGCAGUGCUGGAAAUACCCCAGGCAGUGUGACAGGGGCAGCCAUGGCUGUGGAUCUCAGGAAACAUGCUAUAGAGACAGGGAUGACUGAACUUCUGAGCUUCCUGCCCCCACCCAAGUGCUGGGAUUACGCAGUACCGCAUCUGGUCUGCACCGAGGAUCAAACCCAGACUUUCUGCAAGCACUUUGCCAACUGAUCCACAGCCCAGCACCCUCCCUGCGCCUUCCCAGCACCAUGGGGCAUCAAGACAGAAGGAAGCCAGAACUCUUCUUUGAUCCACUACAGCCCAUCUCCCGCUCUGGGACUUCUCUCCCUGGUCAGCAGUUAGGAUGGCUGCCGACCUCCCAAGCAGACAUGAUGUAGAUGUGCAGCCUUUGUCAAGAUGCGUUUUUGCACAGAUGUCAUUUAGAAGCAACCAAAUGGUAACACAUGGUGGGUGCUCCUCAGACUAGAGGGAAGAACAGCUGUAUUUAAUUUACUAGACUAUCACAGUCUUCAGCCCAGUGCCUUGACCAAGGAAACAUCAUGAGGUGGCUCUAAAGGAAGAAGCCAGUGGAGGCUGCAGAGAGGCCUAGGGGGGUCACACUCUGCUCCUACUUGUGCAUCCAGUGUAACCCUAAAAGGCUCAUGCAAUGAAGGUUUGGCUCCAGUUGGGGGCUCCAGUGAGAGGUCCCUGGUUCAUGAGGGCACUAAUCUCAUCAAUAGACUGAGCAACCCUUGGAUACUGAAUGGCCUGUUAGGAGCCAGGGUAUAACUGAAGGUGUUCUGCCUCUACCACAGGUCCAGAAAUGAUGGAACUAGCCCAUCACUGACUGAAAACCCCCAAAGCCUGUCUUCUUUUGUUUUUGCCAGACAUUUCAUCAUGGUAACAAAGCUCACUGAUGCUCUCUCAAGCCCCUCCUCCUCCACUCAGGCAAAUAUGGGAUCUGAACGGUGCUCUGUACAGAGUCCACUAGAACCACCGCUGACCUCGUCUUCUCCAUCCCAUCCACUUCCAAGGAGACAGAAGCCUCUGACAGGCGAGACUUCCACUAGAGGCCACUAGAGGGAGCUGUUGGCCUACAGGAUAAAACGGACAGCCUUGCCUUUGAGGGGUGGAUGACCAGUCCCUUCUCUGCAGUCUAAAGGACAGAUCUGAAAAAUAAUAGGAAGGGGCAGGGAGAGAACAGCUGCUAUAGACUUGGACUCCAAGGUAAUGACAUGGUAUUCAUUAUACAGAAAACAUCGGAACACAUUUGCACAUCUGUAUUUUAAAGGAAGCUGCGGGUUUUGUGUGUGUGUGUGUGUUUGAUUUUUUUUUAAAGAUGUAUUUAUUUUAUUUAUAUGAGUACACUGUAGCUGUCUUCAGACACACUAGAAGAGGGCAUUAGAU
Long non-coding RNA from Apodemus sylvaticus (European woodmouse), 1643 nucleotides. RefSeq lists it as uncharacterized. The transcript has 4 exons. Lineage: Eukaryota; Metazoa; Chordata; Mammalia; Rodentia; Muridae. The record is from RefSeq and is a predicted model, not a curated record.